This 163-nucleotide ribosomal RNA is filed under the name uncultured bacterium. Its description in RNAcentral is "partial 16S rRNA". It matches the Rfam family "Bacterial small subunit ribosomal RNA", at positions 355 to 511 of the family's 1533-position model. The record is from RNAcentral.
UAGGGAAUCUUCCACAAUGGGCGCAAGCCUGAUGGAGCAACACCGCGUGAGUGAAGAAGGGUUUCGGCUCGUAAAGCUCUGUUGUUAAAGAAGACACGUAUGAGAGUAACUGUUCAUACGUUGACGGUAUUUAACUAGAAAGUCACGGCUAACUACGUGCCAG